AUAAAAGUCUCAUGACCAAAGGUGAUGGAGCCUCUUCUAUGCUUGCAAAAAAAGAAACAGUACCAGUAUACAAAUGAGAGUAGUAUGUUAGCAUAGACAACACCAAAGAGCACAAUGUAAUAUCAGGAUCAUAAAACAAAUAACAUUUUUUGAAAAGAGAGAAACAAUAACAUACAAUAUGUUUAUUUUAUCUUUCCCUCUGAUCACGACAAGCAGGUACUAAUAGCGUGUUUGGUCUGAUGGUUUGGCUCAUCCAUCGUGGUCUGGCUCCGGAUGGAGCGGUCCUGCACUUUAUUGCGGAGUGAGCUGAUCUCACAUGUUAGUUUGUUAUUAGAACAACGCAGUGACGAACGACAUCGUUCCGCGAUUCAAACCAAAUGAUGAUGUAGGCUCGGACGCAGGUCUGAAUGACUUCGGAAGCCGCCCAACCU
Molecule: long non-coding RNA, 431 nt
Filed under: Zea mays
Lineage: Eukaryota; Viridiplantae; Streptophyta; Magnoliopsida; Poales; Poaceae
Description: drought-responsive long non-coding RNA
Source: RNAcentral